This 465-nucleotide ribosomal RNA is filed under the name uncultured bacterium. Its description in RNAcentral is "bacterial SSU rRNA". It matches the Rfam family "Bacterial small subunit ribosomal RNA", at positions 331 to 794 of the family's 1533-position model. The record is from RNAcentral.
CCAGACUCCUACGGGAGGCAGCAGUGAGGAAUAUUGGUCAAUGGCCGGGAGGCUGAACCAGCCAAGUCGCGUGAGGGAAGACGGCCCUACGGGUUGUAAACCUCUUUUGUCAGGGAGCAAGGUGCAGGUCGGGACCUGCUGUGAGAGUACCCGGAGAAAAAGCAUCGGCUAACUCCGUGCCAGCAGCCGCGGUAAUACGGAGGAUGCGAGCGUUAUCCGGAUUUAUUGGGUUUAAAGGGUGCGUAGGCGGGCUGUUAAGUCAGCGGUCAAAUGUCGGGGCUCAACCCCGGCCUGCCGUUGAAACUGGCGGCCUCGAGUGGGCGAGAAGUAUGCGGAAUGCGUGGUGUAGCGGUGAAAUGCAUAGAUAUCACGCAGAACUCCGAUUGCGAAGGCAGCUUACUAAACUGUGACUGACAUUGAUGCUCGAAAGUGUGGGUAUCAAACAGGAUUAGAUACCCUGGUAGC